GUAGUCAUAUGCUUGUCUCAAAGAUUAAGCCAUGCAUGUCUAAGUAUAAACAAAUUUGUACUGUGAAACUGCGAAUGGCUCAUUAAAUCAGUUAUAGCUUAUUUGAUGAUACCUUGCUACAUGGAUAACUGUGGUAAUUCUAGAGCUAAUACAUGCGUCAAAGCCGCGACUUCUGGAAGCGGUGUAUUUAUUAGAUAAAAAACCAACGCGGUUCGCCGCUCCCUUGGUGAUUCAUAAUAACUUCUCGAAUCGCAUGGCCUUGCGCCGGCGAUGCUUCAUUCAAAUAUCUGCCCUAUCAAGUUUAGAUGGUAGGAUAGAGGCCUACCAUGCUUUCAACGGGUAACGGGGAAU
Molecule: ribosomal RNA, 351 nt
Filed under: uncultured fungus
Lineage: Eukaryota; Fungi
Description: SSU rRNA
Rfam family: Eukaryotic small subunit ribosomal RNA
Source: RNAcentral